This 30-nucleotide non-coding RNA is filed under the name Homo sapiens (human). The record is from RNAcentral. Lineage: Eukaryota; Metazoa; Chordata; Mammalia; Primates; Hominidae.
AAAGCAACAUUCUCCAGAGGACAGGAGGGA